Molecule: long non-coding RNA, 204 nt
Filed under: Sorghum bicolor (sorghum)
Lineage: Eukaryota; Viridiplantae; Streptophyta; Magnoliopsida; Poales; Poaceae
Description: long non-coding RNA (SBIC_LNC014896)
Source: RNAcentral
CCAGCGUUGAGGGCAGUGGAAAUAAAACUUUCCACUAGUGGUUAAUUGAGAACUGCAUGUGGAAAUCGAUUUCCACAAGCAGUUCAGUUAAAAUAACUGCCUUCCACAGGCGGUUGUGUUAUGUCAACCGCCUGUGAAAAGGCUUAUCCAGAAAAUUUAAAUUGGGUUUUAAAAAUAGGUAACAAUUUUUUUAAUCAUAGGCAA